Molecule: long non-coding RNA, 6734 nt
Filed under: Podarcis lilfordi (Lilford's wall lizard)
Lineage: Eukaryota; Metazoa; Chordata; Lepidosauria; Squamata; Lacertidae
Source: RNAcentral
UGAGGAAUUCAACAAUCUAAGGUUUUAUUGUGUGCAGACAGAUGUUUUUUUCCUUUGAUAUAAUUUCCUUUGACAAUAAGCUGUGGAAAACACUCUACAAAUGUUCACAAAACAAGACUAGGACAAUGAGCAGUGUUGGGCUCUGUCUCCCCGCUUCCCCCCCGCCAGAUUUCCAAUCCUCAGCUGAUGAAUUGCAGUUAAAAAUCAAGUCUGGCUGGGCAAAAGAUGGUUACGGAGAAGCUACCUGAGCAGUAAAAUCGGGGGAGACAAGCCAAAGGCGUCAGCUUGGAAGGGUCAAGGAGCAGGCCUUAGCCUAGCACAAUGGCAGGGGCUGAUGAGAGGUUGGGCACUGGCUGGGUCUGGUAAGUGCUGAGCAAGGCAGGAUAGGGCAGCAGGUUGGUGUGGGCAGGACAGAAGCAAGGAAAGGGACCAGCUCAUAACCACCCAUGGAAUCUGUAUUUGCAGAGAUCCACCUAACCAAACAUCUCACCUAUAAACCUCAGCUUCCUGUUUGUUUCAGGCCUCAAACAACAUUCAGCCCGGGAAACCUGUAGCUCUUUCACAAUGGAUCUACGGUAUCUAGAUGCAAGUUCUCUACUGCUCUUUCCCACUUUCUUAUCCAGCAAAGAAUUGCAACAGCUGUAAGCGCAUCGCUCUGUUUUCAGUUGUAAUCCCACUCACUCUCUGUGUUUGCAAAGCCUGGUUAAAAAAAAGGGGGUCCGCCCUCCCCCCUUUUUAAAAAGCACACAUUUUACUUGAAAUCCCACAAAACGUGCAUGUGACAUGCAGAUAUCCACUUGCCCAUUUCAAAUGGCAUAACAAAAAUACAGCACACGAACAGCUUAUAUUUUGCACCCUCAGUUAUGGGCACAUAAAUACUGGAAAUUUAUGGUUUGUUUGUUUUUUAAAAAAUAGUGCCACUAUGAGUUGGUGAAUGAGGUGGUGGUGGGAGAAAAUUGUAGGUGCACAGUGUUUUACAAAGUCAGCCAAAGGUUCUAGUCCACAGUUUUCUAGUAGGCUAGUAAAGCAAAUUGACUUUGGUCAUUUGCAGUUCAAAGAAAACUUUUGCUUUCCUUCAUGCUACUCAGAAAACAGCUUAGAAAGAAAUAGUUGCUGAUAUGGCUAAGCAAAGGGUGGUAUUGCUGUGAGAGAACCCACAGGAUAUAGCACCUUGCAAAGUCUACCCAAGGUACUAGUCCACAGUUUUCUACCAGUACUGGUAAAAUAAUCUAUUUUCUAUCAUUUGCAAUUGGCAGAGUUGGCUGGGUACGUUUGCUUUUCCUCUAAUAUCUCCUGGAAGCAACCUUCUGCUGCCAAGAAGUGACCGGGGAAAGUGGUUCGCUCCAAACGUGCUCCAGGAAUCCAGACUGGGAUUUCUUUAAAGGCAUAAUGAAAAGCACUUUAUAUUAAGCAGAUUUUGCUGGAACGACAGAAAUGAGGAGGGCCUGCUUUGCUCAGCUGCAAUGCAGCAAGAGAAUGUAAAGACUGGACCUUUUGAGAGUCAGGUAACGAUACCAUUAGUCAAACAAGCCCUGUUUCUGGGGAACACAGCCUGUAGACUCAUGCCACUUAAUGUUUGGAGACGGACUCUGCAUCAAUCUGUCCAAAUCUUUGAGAACUGGGAAAGGGAACUGUUUAUACCUUAUUUAUCAAUGCAGGGUGGGAGGAUUCUGAAUGCAGCUCUGAGGCAAUUUAGACCUAAGAGGAAAUAGAGAGGAAAACCCUGCAGAUUUAAUUUUCAUGGAGCCGAGGAUCAAGAGAUCCUCUCCUUAUGCUCUAUUACUCCAAGAUAAUUUCUCCCCAGUCUGUUGCAAUCCAAGGUAUUCCCCCCGCCCCAGCUAGCUCUGACUGAAUAAGUCCACACGGUUCCCCCAUCAAACACAUACUUUUGGCCCUUAAUUCCAGUGGCGCUGAGAAUCCAAGACGGCCUCUCCACUUAGGACCGAACCAACUCUAGGACUUUCUAGCCACAGGUGGGCAACUGGCGGCCAAGAAAAACAUUUCACACUCUUUACAGCUGAACACUUUGCUUGCUUACUCAGUGGUAAGACUCUGUGGUCAACGAGGACACUCGCAGAUUAAGGGUCGCUUCCACUGCUAUUAAGAGUAAAGCCAUUGAAAUGAAUGAAACUAACUUAGGCAUGCCCAUUAAACUCCAGUGGGUCUACUCCAAGCAGGACUAGCAUUAGUAAAGCCCUGCGGGACUGCAGCCAUCUUCCCCGCACCCAAAGAAUUGUGCAACAAGAGGAAUAUCUACAGUAAGGCUGUUUUAUACCCAGCCAGAUCAUGGGCUCAUCUCUCAGUCUUGCCCUUUCCUAUCUGGACUGGGAGGGCGGGGACCUGGUUGGCUCCGCCUACAAAGGCUGUUCAAGGUUCCAAGAGACCACCAGGGUGAGGAUUGGCUAGGGGUUGUUGCUGGUGGUGAAGAUUUAGGUUUGGAGAUGCAUGGAUUUGGUCACAGCACUACAUGGCAAGAAAGUGGCAACUUCCAGAGCAGAGGGGAGCAGGGAGCAGCUGAUUUAGCAGUUCCUUACACACACACACAUACCCCGUUACUGCCUUCAUACCCCUAUGUUAGACAUCUGCAGCUGCAAACUGGGGAGUUGGGGUAGACAACCACACUUAAUGGUGCUUUCCAGCCUGGUUGCCCAGGGGUCAUUUCUCCUGGUCACUGGCCCUUGUAAGACAGUGCUCCCUUUCCUUCCUCCACCUGAGGGCUAAGGGAAGACCAUAGAAUCACAGAAGAGUUGGAAGGGACCACAAGGUCCAAGCCUCUGCAAUGCAGGAAUCUUUUACCCAGGAUGGGGCUCGAACCCACAACCCUCAGAUUAAGAGCCUCAUGCUCUACCGACUGAGCUAUCCCAUGCAAGCAAGCUGCUCAGCUAUGCUUCCCAGCUGAAAGAUGGAGGGCUAUGGCUUAGUGGAAGAACAUCUUGCUGUGCAUGGAAAGGUCCCAGUUCAAUCCUUGUCACCUCCUCGAACUGUUCCCUGAAACCCCUGAGAGAUGCUGCCAGUCAGUGCCCAUAAUACUAGGCGAGGUGGGCCAAUUGUACAAGGUGGUUUCUUUUACACACUAGGCUUUUCUUCAGAGAAAAGACCAAGAUCUGUUUUGCGGACAGACUAAAAACUGGUCACCUUGGGCUGGGUUAACUGGAAAGCUUUGCCCUGAUACUUGAUAAUGUUAUGGGUGCCAGACCUCUCUAUUCCCUGGGUCCAGUAAGUGUUAGAAUUUAAUCAAGGCUUGGAGUAUUAAAUUGAGUACUAGACACUUCUAAUCCCUGGAUUCAGCAAGUGUUAAAAGCUAAUUGAGAUAAGUUAGGCUGCUGGGUGAUGGGCCAUUAAGAAAACAAAGGACCAAAGGGCUUAUCUUAGAUGAAAAAUGGGUGGGGGGCCUUUUUCAAUGGAAAAAGCCAGAGUUUAGAGUAGAGAGGUGAGAAGGAAUGUGCCCUAGAAGCAAAGCAGCAAGCUGGAGAGAGAGAGAGAGAGAGAGAGAGAGAGAGAGGGAGCGUAACAUUAGAAAGCCAUGUUUGAUGUCUGUUUGAAUCCAAGGCUGUAGGUAUGGAAGAAACAAGACCCUUUUGGGGUGCUGAUGCUGUGAACCCCUCCAUCGUAGUUUAAUAAAUAAACAAUAUAUCAUAGAUAAAUAAACCAUAUAUAUUAAAGGCAACACAGUCUCUGCCAGGCCUCAUUUCCUAAAGGAAACACAAACCCUGAGUAAGCUCCUGGAACCCCAGAAUCUUGAAUUGCUCGGAGAUUAGAUUGGUGUGCAACACUGGUGUCAGAACUUGGGAUUCGGGUUUCCUGGAGGAAGACCUAUGAGAGAUGUGUACCUGAAUCGGAGGGAACAACAGCCACCCUCCUUGAGUGGCUUAAGAGAGUGAAGCAGCAAUAAAGCAGGCGGUUGGACAAAAUGGGUCAGCUGCUGGCAGAGUGGCCCCGAAUUCCCCGUGGAGAUGAAAGCAUGACUAGGUGUGAGGUGAGAGCCCUGCCUCAUGAGAUGCUACAGGGGUUUGGAAGUGACCCAGGAGCUCAGCUACAAGAUGCUUAGAUGGAAGGGUGGCCAAACAGAUCCACUGUGUGGCUGGGCAGCUGAGGGGCUUGGACCGCAAAGUUAGUAGCUGAAGGCAAGGGGAAAGACAAUGCCUCCAGCUGGCUGGAGCUGAGCAGCUGCUGCUGAUUGAUUUCUCCACUCCCUCGGAGCCUGCUGUGGAAAAAGGAGAGUGCAGGAGACAGGUGCCUCAGCGGAGGGCACACUGCAGGAUGGAAGUGAAGAGCUGCUGCCUAGAGAUCUCACUCCCUGAGUGCCAGCGGUGGAGGGGCAGAGACACAAGGUGUGCGUGCGUGAGCAAGGGGAAUCGGCGCUUGCGGAGGGGCCAGAAAAAGAGAGGUGUGAAUAUUCGUGCGCAAGUAGAGCAGCGGUGUUUUUCUCGGUGGCGGAAAAGGCACCGGAAAAGCUAGAGGCAUAAGUGUGCAUAAGUGGCCUACAGAGGUGCCAAAAAGAAGAGAUGCAGCAGGAGAAAUUGGAGGUGUGAGAGAGCAUGCAAGAAGAGCAGCUUGUGUCUGAGGAAAUGGAUGAGAUAACCGCCCGCAAUGAUUUUGCCCCUUGGGUGCCCCGAUAUGGACUUGCACGGUCGGGACCCAUCCCUAUACAGUGGUACCUCUGGUUGCAAAUGGGAUCUGUUCCAGAGCCCUGUUCGCAACCUGAGAGGAACGCUACCCGCGUCUGCGCACACGCGGGUCACAAUUUGCUGCUUCUGCACAUGUCCGUGAUGUCAUUUUGCGCAUCUGCACAUGUGCGAGCAGCAAAACUUGGAAGUAACCCUUUCCAAUACUUCCGGGUUGCUGCGGGACGCAACCUGAAAAGACGUAACCUGAACCGAACGUAACAAGAGGUAUGACUGUACUGGGUGCAGCUCAGCACCCACAGUCACCCAGGAUCCCAUGGGUGUUGGAGGAAAGAGCCACUGGGAGGAUUACCUCCCUUUCUUUCGGCCCAUGAAGCAUUCAGGAGAUGUUGGGAGUAAGCAGAGAGGGGGAUGCCUGGCUGUUGGGAGGAAACAGAGGGCAAUUUCUGGCCACCAACUUAGGGGGUCUGAUCCUAAUGGAGGUAUCCCCAGGUAAAGACUUUGAUUUGCAGUUUGGGGGCAGGGGAUGAAGUGGACUGGCCCAGGGUUAGCAAGAGGAAAAAAGAUGAAGAGGACCAUCAGUGUGCCAGUGCAGAAGCAGAUGUGUUCCUACGGUUGUGUCUUGAAGCCCUGCAUGCCGCUGCAGAGACUGUUUGGGGAGUGGAGUUUGGAGCCUCCGAUCCACAACCAGAGGGGAGGGGAAAGAGAAAUUUGAAAAACAAACCCUGAAUGUGUGAUUUGAACCCCAAAGUAACGGUUGAUCUACUUGGAAAUGAGAACUAUGUGAAAUCCCAAGACAAACAGUAAUGCAAGCAACUGCAUGGCAUGGGGGGGGGUUGUGCCGCAAGUGGCGCUGUGGGUUAAACCACAGAGCCUAGGGCUUGCUGAUCAGAAGGUCGGCGGUUCGAAUCCCCACGACAGGGUGAGCUCCUGUUGCUCUGUUCCUGCUCCUGCCAACCUAGCAGUUCAAAAGCAGUUCAAAAGCACAUCAAAGUGCAAGUAGAUAAAUAGGUACCACUGUGGCAGGAAGGUAAAUGGCAUUUCUCUGUGCUGCUCUGGUUUGCUAGAAACGGCUUAGUCAUACUGGCCACAUGACCCGGAAGCUGUACACCAGCUCCCUUGGCCAGUGAAGCGAGAUGAGCGCCGCAACCCCGGAGUUGUCCGCAAUUGGACCUAAUGGUCAGGGGUCCCUUUACCUUUAAUUAUUUGCUGCAGUGGACCAUUCUGGAAGUUUUGGCAAGUUUUAUUAAUUUUCUGAAUGCUGUUGAUUUGUGUUUUUUGCAUGUUUGUGGUGAUGGGGGCUGUUGAAUGAUUUGUAGGAACUGUUCAGCUAACUGUAUGUUUGAAAGCUGCCUUGUGAAGCGAGAGCACAAGGGAAAGAAUGAACAAGGGUGCUGAGAGCUGUAUCCUGGCUUAAACAUGUCAAAACUCACUAUCUUGGACAUGCCAAGCGUGGAACGCAGAACUGACUCAGAGUGUGUGCUAAGGAGAAAGGAGAAGGCCUGACUUGUUUGAAAGGAAUAAGCUGUUACUGUACUCAGUACUGGGUUAGGUUAAAAGUGUCAUUGUGCAUUAUUAUCUGUUUUUAAUGAUGUGUGUUUUAAUGCCUUGGCUUACUUGUCUGUGAAUUUUCUACAGGGAAGAGAUAUUUUGCUGUUUGUUGAAAAUGUGUGGACAGGUGUCUGAUUUUUUUUUUAGGGGGGGCAGGUAGUGUUAUGAGUUUGUGGGUGCCAGACCACUCUAAUCUCUGGAUCCAGUAAGUGUUGAACCAAGGCUUGGGGUGUUAAACGGAAUGCUAGAAGCGUCUAAUCUCUUGUUUCAGCAAGUGUUCAAAAGCUAAUCAAGUCAGGCUACCCUCCUGGGUGAUGGGCCAUUAAGAGAACAAAAGACCUAAGGGCUUGUGCUAGAUUGCGAAUGGGUGGGUCCCCCUCCCUCAACAGAUAAAGCCAGAGUUUAGGGUUGAGAGGUGAGGAGAGAUGUGUCCUAGAAGGAAAGCAGCAAGCUGAAGAAAGAGAGGGAGAGCAAUGUUAGAAAGCAAUAUUUGGUGUCUGUUUGGAUCCAAGGCUGUGACUAUGGGAGAAACAUGACCUUUUUGAAGUGCUGAAGCUG